GAGUGCCUGACAUUGGAAACUCAAUAGGCGGUCCGUUACCUGGGACACAGGAGGAUUUUCUGCUGUUUCAUGGGAGCAUCAGACAUUAAUUCUGAGGAUCACCAGAAAGCUUGAACAAGACCUUCAAUAAAAAUUUAAAGCUGCACAGCUUACAGUUUCCUGAUUACUCAAGAAUAAAAUAUAGGAUGCAUAUAUCAUGCUGAGAACAAUGCUACACCUAAUUUGCUUCAGCAAAUGAGAUCAAUUAAAAAUAACUCAACAAAAAUGAUACUGAAUCUUCAAUUACUUCAAGAAGAUGAAGAGCCAGACAUACAGUAAUUGACUUGUUCAUCUUCUUGUCCUUUAAAAC
Molecule: long non-coding RNA, 349 nt
Organism: Mauremys mutica (yellowpond turtle)
Lineage: Eukaryota; Metazoa; Chordata; Testudines; Geoemydidae
Exons: 3
Source: RefSeq, a predicted model, not a curated record